AGAGUUUGAUUCCAUGGCUCAGAGUGAACGCUGGCGGUAGGCCUAACACAUGCAAGUCGAACGGCAGCACAGGAGAGCUUGCUCUCUGGGUGGCGAGUGGCGGACGGGUGAGGAAUACAUCGGAAUCUACCUUUUCGUGGGGGAUAACGUAGGGAAACUUACGCUAAUACCGCAUAAGACCUUCGGGUGAAAGCCGGGGACCUUCGGGCCUGGCGCGGAUAGAUGAGCCGAUGUCGGAUUAGCUUGUUGGCGGGGUAAAAGCCCACCAAGGCGACGAUCCGUAGCUGGUCUGAGAGGAUGAUCAGCCACACUGGAACUGAGACACGGUCCAGACUCCUACGGGAGGCAGCAGUGGGGAAUAUUGGACAAUGGGCGCAAGCCUGAUCCAGCCAUACCGCGUGGGUGAAGAAGGCCUUCGGGUUGUAAAGCCCUUUUGUUGGGAAAGAAAUCCUGCCGGUUAAUAACCAGUAGGGAUGACGGUACCCAAAGAAUAGC
RNAcentral lists this ribosomal RNA (495 nucleotides) under barley rhizosphere bacterium JJ-1870. Its description in RNAcentral is "bacterial SSU rRNA". It matches the Rfam family "Bacterial small subunit ribosomal RNA", at positions 8 to 491 of the family's 1533-position model. RNAcentral also lists the same sequence under 1 other name. Lineage: Bacteria; Pseudomonadati; Bacteroidota; Sphingobacteriia. The record is from RNAcentral.